Molecule: long non-coding RNA, 1187 nt
Organism: Triticum aestivum (bread wheat)
Lineage: Eukaryota; Viridiplantae; Streptophyta; Magnoliopsida; Poales; Poaceae
Exons: 5
Source: RefSeq, a predicted model, not a curated record
GGGCCCAUAUAAUCAGCAAGCUGCAGCCCAUCACGUUCACGUACGUCCGCUGUUCACAUCCAGUCGCCACGCCCCCACGUCUGCACGGAUCGAUCAAUCCAUCCGUCGUCUCCUGAGUCCCGACUCCCAAACAGCCAAAGCGCGGCGGCGGCGGCGAUCGAUCCGUUGCUACUUCAUAGAAAAGUUUAGGCAGCUGCCGGCUGGGCGGCCGGCACACCGCACACGCCUAUGCGGCUACGCGACUGCGCGCGGCAGCGGGAUCCGGCAAUCGACACUUCGAUACACUCUUGGGUAAUGAUGUUAUCUGUUACUACAUGGAGAAAAAAGAUGAAAAAGGUCACCAGUUUCAUGUCUAGGGGCAAGAGAAUUUAUUAAAGGUUAUUGAACCUUGAUUUUUGACGAUGUGUUUUAGAACUUGGAAACGAAGACAAACUUUUCAGGAUAUGCCCGACGACGACAUGGAACAGUUUAACCAAAAGCUAAUAAUCGCAACAGGCCUGCAGGCUAAAGGCGCUGGGUUGAAUGAGUCCCGAGUGUUAGAAAUGUUGUGCAUCAGCAUGUAUCUGUCUGAUCCUCUCGCGGAUCUUCUCUAAUCUCUACCCAAAGGGUACUCUGCUGUGAAUGAAAUCCUGCAGAUGAGAACUCAAAGUGCAAGCAUUCUUCGCAUCAAGUUUAAACUCAUGUGGGGUGCUGGCCGCCAAUCAGAUGCAGCCUGCAGCUCACUGGUUCUUCUGUGUAACGCCUGAUGCCCUUACAAUCUUGCAUGAACACUGUUUUCUCUGCCGUUUUGCACUGAACUAUUACCAUGCAUGUUUAGUGUAAGAUAAAGGCGUUUGUUCCUUGUUCAUAAUCCCUUUGCUCUGUUUCAGAUCUGCGUGUUGAUAAGUUAUGGAAAUUCCUGUCUAACGCAGAUACCGCUGUAAGGCAACUCGGUUAGCAGAUCUAAUUAAUCUCCAGGCUUAAUGUGCUCAAUGACUCCUGAACCUUAAAUGUUGCCCAAGCAGCCAAAGGAACCUGAUAUGCUUUUGAAAUGUAUAUAUAAACAUGCUAUUAAGAAUAAAAGGGUGCCAUUUUGGAUAUCUCAAUCAAAGGAAGUAAGUAGACCUUACAGACAGGAGAAUGCAAAGAGAUAAAAUCGAAGCUACUCCCUCCGCCCCAUAAUAUAUGAGCGUCUUAACACUACACUA